AAUCAACGCUGGCGGCGUGCCUAACACAUGCAAGUCGAACGCGAAAGUUCCCUUCGGGGAGCGAGUAGAGUGGCGUCCGGGUGAGUAACACGUAGGUAAUCUACCUUUGGGUGGGGAAUAACAACCGGAAACGGUUGCUAAUACCGCAUAAUGCAGCGGCACCGCAUGGUGACAGUUGUUAAAGCGGGGGAGUCGCAAGACCUCGCGCCUAAAG
This 214-nucleotide ribosomal RNA is filed under the name uncultured bacterium. RNAcentral describes it as "partial 16S ribosomal RNA". It matches the Rfam family "Bacterial small subunit ribosomal RNA", at positions 32 to 224 of the family's 1533-position model. The record is from RNAcentral.